UUUAAUUAAAAAUUUAAUUAAGAUUAAUUGUACCUUUUGCAUCAUGAUUAAAUGAUUAUUUUUCUAAUAUUAGUUUAUUCGAAAUUAUGUGAUCUUAUAUUGGUAUACAUAUUAUUUGGGUAAUGUGGUAUAAGAAGCCAUUAUAAGAAGUGAUAAGUUAUACGUACAUAAUUAUAUCUAACUAGAGGUUAUUUUAACAGUAUUAUUUCAUUAUAAUAUUGUAGUUUAUUUGCUUUAUGUUUAUUUAAUAAUUUUGGAUUAAUAUUAUCCUUAAUCUUGUUAUAAAGUAAUAUAAUUUAUACUACAGCAAUUGUUCAGUACCUCUCUCAAUAUAACUAUUUAAUUAGAUUAUGUUAUAAAUAAGUAUAUAAAUAAUAAUAAUUUUUCUCGUAAUAAUCCGAACUGUUUAUUAAAAACAUUUCCUAUUGUAAAGUUUUAUAGGUAACCCCUGCUCAUCGUUAUAAAUAUUUUAUAACAAGAAGCCGCAGUAUUUUGACUGUGCUAAGGUAGCAUAAUUAAUUGCCUUCUAAAUAGAGGAUUGUCUGAAUGGGGAUAAUUGGGUUUAAUUUAAGAUUAUUAUUAUAAGAAAUUAGUUUGUAGUUGCAGAACACUACUUUAUUUUAUAAGACGGAAAGACCCUAAGAGCUUAAUUUCUUUUAUUUUGGGCAAAGCUAUAAGUUUAAAUAGUUUAUAAACCUAUUGGGGAAAAAAUAAAGUUACCUUAGGGAUAACAGGGUUAGAUGUAUUUAGAGUUCUUAUCAAUGUGCAUAAUUGCCACCUCGAUGUUGACUUAAAUUUACUUUAUUGUGUAGAAGCUUUAUAAGUAAGCCUGUUCGGCUUUUAAAAUUUUUCAUGAGUUGAGUUAAGACCGGUGUAAGCCAGGUCGGUUCUUAUCUAUAAGUGGUCUACUAUAGUACGAAAGGAUUUAGUAGUAAAUAAGUUAUUUAUAUUAUAG
Molecule: ribosomal RNA, 955 nt
Filed under: Gyrodactylus kobayashii
Lineage: Eukaryota; Metazoa; Platyhelminthes; Monogenea; Gyrodactylidea; Gyrodactylidae
Description: 16S ribosomal RNA
Rfam family: Bacterial large subunit ribosomal RNA (bases 621-900)
Source: RNAcentral